CCCACUCCCAAAUUCGGUGGUGACCGAAGAAGAAGAAAAAGAAGAGAAGAAAAAAGAAGCUUAGGGCGAAGGAAACUGGUGGUGGAAAACAGUACCGACGCAUCGGGUUGACGCCGUACAAACAAGGACAUAGGUAAAGCCUUCCUCACUUUCCUUGAGUUCGACAGUGGAACCUCAUUUUAUUUAUUUUCUGAAGUAAAGUGUAUCAGAAACCAAAUCAUGUUUUGGUACCGAUUUCAACUUAGAAAGAAGGAACCCCCACACCGAGAUUUCCUGCAUCGCCUUUUGUCGAAGAGUUAUGCAGGAAGGUUUCCCAGUGUCCUCUGAUGGGUAGUUGUAGAUCCUGAAAUGAAUGGUAGAAUAGUUUUAAGAUUAGGUACCUGAGUAUGUAAUUUCUGCAUCAAUUAAAGGAUGAGCACCAGUGUUGGAAAUUUAGUUUAGGCACCUAAACUGAUAUGCAUGAGGGAUAUAUCAGCUCUAAUGAAUUCUAUUAAAAUUCCGUAUCUGGGAAGUAUCAUGUUGGGGAGUUAUUUGAGUAAAAUAAGGGGUUGAGAUCUGAUGGGGGAAUGAUUAUAGGAUGGAAACACUAGAAUACAACACAACAAAGCAGGUAAGGAUUUAAAAUUUUAGCCAAUUAAAUUAUAAGAGCAUCUUUGAAAUUUCAAGGUAAAUUAGUGAAGGGUACUGGGCAUUAUAUAGAUGAGAAAAUUAUAAAAAAAAAGAAAUAAAAACAAAAUAGACAACAAGGGGAAUAGCGGAAAAAUAAAUAUAUGUGUGUAUAUAUAUAUACUGAUGUGCAUACACAGGGGAAGAAAUAUAAAAACAAAAUUAGGCAACAAGUGGAAUAGCAGAAAAAUAAUUAUAUAUGCGUAGAUAUAUAUACUGGUGCGCAUACGCAGGGGGAGGAAAUAUAAAAAAAAAAAAAGGCAAUAAGGGGAAUAGUAGAAAAAUAAUUAUGCAUGUGUGUAUAUAUAUACUGGUGUGCAUACGCAGGGGAGGAAAUAUAAAAACAAAAAUUAGUCAACAAGGGGAAUAACAAAAAAAUAAUUAUAUAUGUGCGUGUGUAUAUAUAUAUACCGGUGUGCAUUAUAGAAUUUAGAGGAUUGGUCUGUAUGGGAACAAAAAAUAAUAGUAUGGACAACAUAGAAAAUAAGGGGAAAAUAAUUUAGUUUUAAUAAAAAAAAUAGAUUAGAGAGGAAACAAAGAAGCACAUGUGUGAGUUAAAAGAGGAGAAUAAAUGGGGACAAGAUCUGUUAAAAUAAAUAAAUGGAAAGGGUUGUGAUAUAUUGUCGAGUUAUAUUACAAUGUGCAAACUUGACAAGUAUAUCGUUCAAUCAAUUACCAUUGAGAGAGGGAUGUGUGGGUGAUCGGAUUAACGUUCGAGAUGAGUUUAAUACUCCUUUCACGUGUGAUAGAUGGAUGAUUUAUGGUAAUACGCAUCAUACGAGUUGAGGGAUGAAUGUUAUUACAUAUUUUGGAGUCCCUUUGUACUAGAAAUAGUAUAAUUGUGACUGUUGUUAUUGUAACAUCCCGAGUUCGAAAAAUUUAUCUCAGAAUAGUAAAUUUAAAUUUAUUAAAUAAUAAUAAUAGCUAAGUUUCUUUUUUUUUUUUAAUUUAAAAGAUACAAAAAAUAAUUAUUAAGAAGAAUAUAUACAUUUUGGGAAUAUUUAAAAAUAAAUUUCAGAAACUAGAGCAAAAUUGUAAAUAAAGGGGAGCAAGUUUGAAAGAAAAAUUUGAAAAACAGGGGUCAAUUUGUAAAAAGAAAAAAAAGGGCUAUCUGGAUGUCCAAUCAGUAGCGCAGCGAAUAGCUGCAUGCCGCAUGGCGGCCACAUCAACACGGGCUCCACGCAGGAAACCUACGCUGGCAAUCCGCAUGCCAGGAAGAUAAGACGACUCAUGUCCACUCCUGCGCGGACGAACAAUCCAGAUCAAUUCCCUGAAUAAGCCAAUCGAAUAGCUCCUGUUGCCCCAGACAAACCUGAAUGGACGACCCAGAUCGAUUCUCCAAAUAAGCCCAAUCGAACGACCUUUCUUACCCCACAUCGACCCAAAUGGACUGCCAGGAUCAGGGGAAGAGAGGUAUUUAAACCUCUCUUUAGUCGGCUCCAAAAGCCUAGACGACACAGGUGACCGAAGAAGAAGAAGAAGGGCGAUCGAAGGAGAGAUCAAUCGCUAGAGAGAUGCUACCGCUACCGCGCCAGAACCCAAACGUGCUGGAUAAUCAAGAAAAGUCACAAACUACGAGAGAGGAACGACGGAGCUUGGCUGAGCUGCCGCACUAGAGAAUGAAAAUUGUUGGUAAGGCCAAAAAUUUCCCUUCUUUUCUUUGUAAAACACCCCAUUUCCAUGAUUUAGACUAAUUUCCACAAGGAACCGGCCAAAAUUGAUUUGACCGAGAGAGAGAAGUGCUGGAGAAGGAGAACCAGGCGGCGAAGCUCGGCGGUGCCAUCAUGCUGGAACCCCAACUCGACCCUCGAUGAGUUUUUUUCUAUAUUUUUCACCAUUCUUUACAUAUUUUCACGCUGUUUUGAUGUACGAUUUUAAAUUUUACCAAAAAACCCAAGAAAUCCAAAAACUGGGAACUGUCGUGAACCGUAGUAAGAAAGGCAGUGUCUUGGACUAUAACCUAGGGUAAAAAUUCCUCAACCUUUCCCCUGUUACAAUAAAUUAAAGUUAAAUCAAUAAUAAAUGGUAGAACUAAAUGGUCUUA
This is a non-coding RNA of Carica papaya (papaya), 2710 nucleotides long. The record is from RefSeq and is a predicted model, not a curated record. NCBI's taxonomy places the organism in Eukaryota, Viridiplantae, Streptophyta, Magnoliopsida, Brassicales, Caricaceae.